RNAcentral lists this ribosomal RNA (465 nucleotides) under uncultured bacterium. Its description in RNAcentral is "partial 16S ribosomal RNA". It matches the Rfam family "Bacterial small subunit ribosomal RNA", at positions 338 to 795 of the family's 1533-position model. The record is from RNAcentral.
CCUACGGGAGGCAGCAGUGGGGAAUAUUGCGCAAUGGGCGAAAGCCUGACGCAGCGACGCCGCGUGAGGGAUGAAGGUCUUCGGAUCGUAAACCUCUGUCAGCAGGGACGAACGGUCACUGUGCUAAUCAGCAGUGAAUUGACGGUACCUGCAAAGGAAGCACCGGCUAACUCCGUGCCAGCAGCCGCGGUAAUACGGAGGGUGCGAGCGUUAAUCGGAUUUACUGGGCGUAAAGCGCUCGUAGGCGGUAUGUCAAGUCAAGGGUGAAAUCCCCGCGCUCAACGUGGGAACUGCCUUUGAAACUGGCCAACUUGAGUGUGGGAGAGGAUAGUGGAAUUCCAGGUGUAGGAGUGAAAUCCGUAGAUAUCCGGAGGAACAUCAGUGGCGAAGGCGACUAUCUGGCACAUAACUGACGCUGAGGAGCGAAAGCGUGGGUAGCAAACAGGAUUAGAUACCCCGGUAGUC